This 897-nucleotide unclassified non-coding RNA is filed under the name Hevea brasiliensis (rubber tree). Lineage: Eukaryota; Viridiplantae; Streptophyta; Magnoliopsida; Malpighiales; Euphorbiaceae. The record is from RNAcentral.
CUAAAUCGAUAUUAAUUCACCACCCACCCACCAAUUCCACUGAACAGUUCCUACAAAGCAUCAGAAAUAUAGCUGCCUGCAUUGUGCAAACGAUACCUGAGUUGGGCAGUAAGGACACUUGAAUGUCCGUGAGCUACCUUUAGACAUUUUGGUGAUUGAUUGCUUGCAGAGAACAUGCAGACAUGGCAUCAGCAUUGGUGGAUUAUCUUCACUUCCUUGCUCCCUACUUACAGGACAAACGAAAAUCGAAGGGAACUGAUAUUCUCUCCCCAAUUCAACUGGCACUGGGAGCUGUUUCAUUGCCAGCCACUCUUGCCUUUUUGCAGCCAUCACGUUUGCCAGCUUCAAUAGAGUUGGCAACCCCUCAAUCCCAGCUGCCAUUGCCAAGGUCAAUGGGCUCCCACAGGAAUGUCCUAAAAGAUUGCAGAAAUCCCGAGUUAGCUCAUCAGACAACUUUUCCCAAUGAGUUGGAUCCAACAACUCGGAAUGAGGAUUGCUUUCAAGCUUCCCUAUCCAACAGAUGCAAACCACGAGCUUCUGAAUUUCUCUCAUAUGAAGCGAAGCUAAAGGAGAAAGGAAAGUUCUGGCAUAAUUAAGGGCAGCAGCACGAUUUCCCCCCUUCAAAAUCUCCAAAAACUGUAGGCGGUGAAUUUUAAUCUCCAGAUUUGAACCAUUCAGCUGGAGCUUUUCACGGUUGGUAGAAGCCCAUUUAAGAGCAGGUUCAAGGUUUUUAACCUUAAUAGCAUCAAGUAUUUGAUGCAAUUCCAAGAAUUGAGAUCUUAAAGCUGUUGCUUCUGGUUCUCCAGCUUCAUUUAUUAGGCAAUCUCCAAGAUCAAAUUGGCCUUGCCGGUAAAAAUGGCUUGCUAUUAUCUGAUUCACUAUAUGGAAGUCAAAGUC